GAGAGGCCAUUUGAACGUUCUGAACACCACCGACGGUUUCUCUCUUCGGUUGACAAGCAAAUGACGUUUUUUCAUUAUUAAAAAGGGAACUGCCUCCUAGAACCUUCUCUGGUUAUAAAGGACUAUAUGGCAUCGAUAUGAGAACCGUCAGACACAUUCAUUCUCGUGACAACAUUGGAUAAUGAAUAGGAUCAAUUUGGUCAUAAAAUCAGUCUCGUCCAAAACGAGAUUUGGAAGUGAGUGCGUCGCAACAGGUAUGGAUGGGUUUGGUAUAAAUUACUAGCUUUUACCAAUGAUGUCUGAUUGUCCAGAGACAACAAACAAGGCCGAGGUCCUGACACAAGCUGACAUGUGUUGUGGACAUGUUGUCAAGUCUGCAAUGCACGCACACUUGCUAGGUAUAGGAGUGAAAAUUGGGCUUACAUAAAGUUGAUGCAAACUUUAAUACUUCAACAAUAUUGUGCAAGAUGGCAAGGAACAAACAUUGAUGGCUGUGACUGGUGUGAAGCUAGCUAACUACAGCACGAUACUGUAGGGAUCUUUAAAUGUACCACAGAAGAACCAAGAAAUGAAGAGCAACGCCUCGGCUGACUUUUUUGAGCUUUUAUGUAGAUCUGCAAUUAUAUUAUGAAAAGGGAAGACCGGAAGAUCAUCAGUCUGAGGAAAGCAGUGUCGUCGGGAAACCUUCCAUCCAUAUCAGGAGUAGAAGGCUGAGGCAGACCUUGGCAAGGCAACAGACACAUUUCAGGUUGGUCACGUUUGAUCUGGUCAUAGGUCAAAAUACUAUCACUUGUCUGCCCUGGAAUUCACCUAACACCUACCAUUGAUAAUGUAAUCAGUGCUGUGUUUUCUACAGAUGGAGGACGGGUGAGAUGGUUUGUCAGGGAGUCCCCUGACUGACUAACAGACAGGUUGAUACAGAUGGAGUCCCCUGACUGACUAACAGACAGGUUGAUACAGAUGGAGUCCCCUGACUAACAGACAGGUUGAUACAGAUGGAGUCCCCUGACUGACUAACAGACAGGUUGAUACAGAUGGAGUCCCCUGACUAACAGACAGGUUGAUACAGAUGGAGUCCCCUGACUAACAGACAGGUUGAUACAGAUGGAGACUACUGACUAACAGACAGGUUGAUACAGAUGGAGUCCCUGACUGACUAACAGACAGGUUGAUACAGAUGGAGUCCCCUGACUAACAGACAGGUUGAUACAGAUGGAGUCCCCUGACUAACAGACAGGUUGAUACAGAUGGAGUCCCCUGACUAACAGACAGGUUGAUACAGAUGGAGUCCCCUGACUAACAGACAGGUUGAUACAGAUGGAGUCCCCUGACUAACAGACAGGUUGAUACAGAUGGAGUCCCCUGACUGACUAACAGACAGGUUGAUACAGAUGGAGUCCCCUGACUAACAGACAGGUUGAUACAGAUGGAGUCCCCUGACUAACAGACAGGUUGAUACAGAUGGAGUCCCCUGACUAACAGACAGGUUGAUACAGAUGGAGUCCCCUGACUAACAGACAGGUUGAUACAGAUGGAGUCCCCUGACUAACAGACAGGUUGAUACAGGAGAAAUGGUUUGUCAUGGAGUCCCCUGAAACAGAUGUCUGAACUAGAGACCUUGCUCUCAGCAUUACAAUGAUACUAGUACUUGUCAUCAUCUUCUGUUAUUAUUGAAUUUUAAUGGUAGGAGGGGGGUUGACCCUGUGUAUUCUUCAAACUUGUCAGGGAACUGUCCUAUAUGGGACACCAUACGAAGGGAUACUGACUAAUAUGUACCACCAGGGGCAGCGUAGCUUAGUGGUUAGAGUUUAGAGGUGGCAGGUAGCCUAGUGGAUAGAGUGUAGACCUGACCCCUCCUGUCUCAGCCUCCAGUAUUUAUGCUGCAGUAGUUUUUGUGUCGGGGGGCUAGGGUCAGUUUGUUAUAUCUGGAGUACUUCUCCUGUCCUAUUCGGUGUCCUGUGUGAAUCUAAGUGUGCGUUCUCUAAUUCUCUCCUUCUCUCUUUCUUUCUCUCUCUCGGAGGACCUGAGCCCUAGGACCAUGCCCCAGGACUACCUGACAUGAUGGCUCCUCGCUGUCCCCAGUCCACCUGGCCAUGCUGCUGCUCCAGUUUCAACUGACCUGAGCCCUAGGACCAUGCCCCAGGACUACCUGACAUGAUGACUCCUUGCUGUCCCCAGUCCACCUGGCCAUGCUGCUGCUCCAGUUUCAACUGGCCUGGGCCCUAGGACCAUGUCCCAGGACUACCUGACAUGAGGACUCCUUGCUGUCCCCAGUCCACCUGGCCAUGCUCCUGCUCCAGUUUCAACUGUUCUGCCUUACUAUUAUUCAACCAUGCUGGUCAUUUAUGAACAUUUGAACAUCUUGGCCACGUUCUGUUAUAAUCUCCACCCGGCACAGCCAGAAGAGGACUGGCCACCCCACAUAUGCUCUCUCUAAUUCUCUCUUUCUUUCUCUCUCUCGGAGGACCUGAGCCCUAGGACCGUGCCCCAGGACUACCUGACAUGAUGGCUCCUUGCUGUCCCCAGUCCACCUGACUGUGCUGCUGCUCCAGUUUCAACUGUUCUGCCUUAUUAUUAUUCGACCAUGCUGGUCAUUUAUGAACAUUUGAACAUCUUGGUCAUGUUCUGUUAUAAUCUCUACCCGGCACAGCCAGAAGAGGACUGGCCACCCCACAUAGCCCGGUUCCUCUCUAGGUUUCUUCCUAGGUUUUGGCCUUUCUAGGGAGUUUUUCCUAGCCACCGUGCUUUUACACCUGCAUUGUUUGCUGUUUGGGGUUUUAGGCUGGGUUUCUGUACAGCACUUUGAGAUAUCAGCUGAUGUACGAAGGGCUAUAUAAAUAAAUUUGAUUUUAUUUUAUUUAGAGGAGGCAGGUAGCCUAGUGGUUAGAGUGUAGAGGUGGCAGGUAGCCUAGUGGUUAGAGUGUAGAGGUGGCAGGUAGCCUAGUGGUUAGAGUGUAGAGGUGGCAGGUAGCCUAGUGGUUAGAGUGUAGAGGUGGCAGGUAGCUUAGUGGUUAGAGUGUAGAGGUGGCAGGUAGCCUAGUGGUUAGAGUGUAGAGGUGGCAGGUAGCCUAGUGGUUAGAGUGUAGAGGUGGCAGGUAGCUUAGUGGUUAGAGUGUAGAGAUGGCAGGUAGCUUAGUGGUUAGUGCGCUGGACUAGGUAACCGAAAGGUUGCAAGAUCAAAUCUCAGAGCUGACAAGGUACAAAUCAGUCGUUCUACCCCUGAACAAGGCAGUUAACCCCACUGUUCCCCGCUAGGCCAUCAUUGAAAAUAAGAAUUUGUUCUUAACUGACGUGCCGAGUUGAAUAAAGGUAAAUAAAAAAUG
Long non-coding RNA from Oncorhynchus keta (chum salmon), 3323 nucleotides. RefSeq lists it as uncharacterized. The record is from RefSeq and is a predicted model, not a curated record. NCBI's taxonomy places the organism in Eukaryota, Metazoa, Chordata, Actinopteri, Salmoniformes, Salmonidae. The transcript has 2 exons.